This is a long non-coding RNA of Macadamia integrifolia, 1748 nucleotides long. RefSeq lists it as uncharacterized. The record is from RefSeq and is a predicted model, not a curated record. The transcript is spliced from 2 exons. Lineage: Eukaryota; Viridiplantae; Streptophyta; Magnoliopsida; Proteales; Proteaceae.
GAGAGGGCCAACUGGCGAAGAACGAAGAAGGUAGGUCUGGGUCACUAAGGAGGUCCAUCUGCCUACUUCUGCACCUACCUUGUCUCUGUCUGUCUCUCUCACUUUCUAAUUAACAAAGGGCUAUCGAUUAAUCCUUAUGUGCAUCCGACACGGCACCACCCUGUCAUGCCGCCCUAUGCCAUCCUCUCCCUUUGACCCUAGUGGUUGAAGUUGCAGUAUUUACAGCCUACUACCUAUAUCUUUUGGGUAGCUGUAUCUAGCCUAUCUCUGUUUACUUCUCAAAACUCAAAAGCAAACCACAGGUAGCACAUGGUUGAUGCUCAUGCUUCUCUCUGUCACGCUCACGAGAGAGACUAGAUGAUGUGCCAUCUCUCUCUCUCUUUCUUGCUGUCUGGCUUGGUGUGUACAUCUGUCUCAUCUUGUGCCCUAUAAAUAACACCUCUCCCAAUCUGGUUUUUAUCUCUAAGUGGUAUCUUUUCUUCUAGGGUUUCUUCCUCUUUUUAAGUCUUUUAGCUUAGGUUGUCUCUUUCGUUCCAGCAGAUGGUAUUCUUUAAUCUGUUCAUGAGCAAUUCUUCAUCCUUCUUCUCUUAUUCUACAUUUCAUGGUGACAUUUUGGUCCCCAGCUUUCUGUAUGUCCUUUUUUAUUUACUUAAUUUUAUUGAACUCCCUCUGGGUGUUGUUGAACCUUUUAUUUCUACUGUGUUUUUAGGAAAAGGGUUUUAAUCUUUCUAGGUUUUACUUUAGUAUCAACCUUCUCCUGUGGAUUUAACAAACCCCCAAGUUAUUUCUGGACAGCAACAGUAAUCCUUAUAAGGAAGAAGUGAAGCUGCCAGCAUGAUCUACCUUUGGCUGGAUGAGUGGUUCUAAAUAAAAUGUGAAAAACCCAUAUAUCGAACCCUAGCUAGGUCAUGCUCUGACAGCCUCACUCUUUCCCAUUUUGGGAACAAUUAGAUUCUCAAUCUCAAACCUUCUGGAGAGAAAAAGAUGUAACCGCUCGGCCAUGUUUGCUUUUGGAUCUACAACGGUGGGCUCAGUAAAAAACAAGAUUUCUUUAACUUAUCUUUAAUGGGUUUUCUGAAUCUUCUUCAUUCUUUUGAUGGCUAGGCCAUGCUUGUAUGAAAUGAAGGAAGAUUGUUCUAUCAAGUGUCUGAUUUAUACCUUUUCUUUACCCUUUUCUUAAUUUCUAUGUUCUUAUUCAAGCUAUCAUGGAGAUCUAUUGUCUCAUUUCUGGAAAUCUGGUGAUUACCCAAAGUAUUAGUCCAUCUGGGUUUCACAAUUGAGAAUGUUUGGAGAAAACCCAUCUUCAAAAGCUGUGAAGAUGCUCAUAUCAGAAGUUUCAGAACCAGCAUAUAUUCAGGGCGUUUACUUGAAGGGUUUAGGGCUCACGAAGUAGUGUUCUGGACUCUGGACUCUGGAGAGGAGAUGCCACCGAUAACCCAAUAAACCAAGAAAAUGAAAUGUGAUAAUGGACACAGAAUCCAAAAACAAGGUAGCAUGCGACCCAACUGGAAAUCACGCAUCAACCAAUUCUGUAGGCAUUACACAGAUCGGUAUUGUUCACAUAUAAUGGGUAACAUGCCUGGGCUGACGCCAUCAAAAUAUAUACACUGUUUAAAGAUUCUCAACUUGUGACCAUCAUAUGCCUACUGUUAUGUAAGAAUGUUAAUUAUAUGCUUCUGCUACUAAGCUUCUUGCCUGUAACAAAUCUGAACAUGUGGAAUAAGAAGUGAAUAUAAGGGAUUACACAA